RNAcentral lists this ribosomal RNA (781 nucleotides) under uncultured bacterium. RNAcentral describes it as "partial 16S ribosomal RNA". The record is from RNAcentral.
ACUAAGUUUCCAACGUCUAGCACACAUCGUUUACGGCAUGGACUACGAGGGUAUCUAAUCCUCUUCGCUACCCAUGCUUUCGUUCCUCAGUGUCAGUAAUGAUCCAGAAAGUUGCCUUCGCUUUUGAUGUUCUUUCUAAUAUCUACGAAUUUCACCUCUACACUAGAAAUUCCACUUUCCUCUAUCAUACUCUAGCUAAAAAGUUUUGAUGGCAGUUCCAAGGUUGAGCCUUGGGAUUUCACCAUCAACUAUUUUAACCACCUACGAACUCUUUAAGCCCAGUAAUUCCGAACUACGCUAGGUCCCUUCGUAUUACCGCGGCUGCUGGCACGAAGUUAGCCGGACCUUCUUAUUCGGGUACAGUCAUUUUCUUCCCCGACGAAAGAGUUUUACAACCCAAAGGCCUUCUUCACUCACGCGGCAUCGCUGCAUCAGGGUUUCCCCCAUUGUGCAAGAUUCCCCACUGCUGCCUCCCGUAGGAGUUUGGGCCGUGUCUCAGUCCCAAUGUGGCUGGUCUUCCUCUAAGAACAGCUAUUGAUCGUUGCCUUGGUAAGCUAUUACCUUACCAACUAGCUAAUCAAGUGCGGGCUCAUCUUUUGGCAUUAAAACUUUCCCUGUAAAGGCUUAUCCGGUAUUAGCACAAGUUUCCUCGUGUUAUUCCGAACCAAAAGGCAGAUUCCCACAUUAUACUCACCCGUUUGCCACUCAGUAUUGCUACUGCGUUCGACUUGCAUGUGUUAGGCGUGCCGCCAGCGUACGUUCUGAGCCAGGAUCAAACUCU